Molecule: ribosomal RNA, 1204 nt
Filed under: metagenome
Description: SSU rRNA
Rfam family: Eukaryotic small subunit ribosomal RNA
Source: RNAcentral
AGUCUGGUGCCAGCAGCCGCGGUAAUUCCAGCUCCAAUAGCGUAUAUUAAAGUUGUUGCAGUUAAAAAGCUCGUAGUUGAAAUUUUGAUUGUAGAGGUCAGUCUCACAACAGUGAGUGCUAGAUGUGCUGUGGUCAUGUUUCGUUGGAACGUGUGUGGCAUUGAGUUGUCGUGCAUGGGAAGACGAUCGUUUACUGUGAAAAAAUUAGAGUGUUCAAAGCAGGCUUAUGCCGUUGAAUAUAUUAGCAUGGAAUAAUAAGAUAGGACCAGGGUACUAUUUUGUUGGUUUGUGCACCUUGGUAAUGAUUAAUAGGGACAGUUGGGGAUAUUCGUAUUGCGGUGUCAGAGGUGAAAUUCUUGGAUUUCCGCAAGACGAGCUACUGCGAAAGCGUUUAUCAAGGAUGUUUUCAUUAAUCAAGAACGAAAGUUAGGGGAUCGAAGAUGAUUAGAUACCAUCGUAGUCUUAACCAUAAACUAUGCCGACAAGGGAUUGGCAGGGUGUGUUUAUGCCUCUGUCAGCACCUUAGGAGAAAUCAUAAGUUUUUGGGUUCCGGGGGGAGUAUGGUCGCAAGGCUCAAACUUAAAGACAUUGACGGAAGGGCACCACCAGGAGUGGAGCCUGCGGCUUAAUUUGACCCAACACGGGAAAACUUACCAGGUCCAGACAUAGUGAGGAUUGACAGAUUGAGAGCUCUUUCUUGAUUCUAUGGGUGGUGGUGCAUGGCCGUUCUUAGUUGGUGGAGUGAUUUGUCUGGUUAAUUCCGUUAACGAACGAGACCCCCGCCUGCUUAAUAGAUGGUCUAGUGAUUUUUCACUGGAAACAUCUUCUUAGAGGGACGUGCGUUCUAUUAGACGCAGGAAGAUGGGGGCAAUAACAGGUCUGUGAUGCCCUUAGAUGUCCUGGGCCGCACGCGCGCUACACUGAUGCAUUCAACGAGUUGCCUUCACCGAGAGGUGUGGGAAAUCUUGGAAUGUGCAUCGUGAUAGGGAUAGAUUCUUGUAAUUUUUAAUCUUGAACGAGGAAUUCCUAGUAAACGCAGAUCAUCAAUCUGCAUUGAUUACGUCCCUGCCCUUUGUACACACCGCCCGUCGCACCUACCGAUUGAAUGGUCCGGUGAAGCCUCGGGAUUAUGAUGACUUUUCUUCAUUGAGAGGUCGUUGCGAGAACUUGUCUAACCUUAUCAUUUAGAGGAAGGUGAAGUCGU